This 412-nucleotide long non-coding RNA is filed under the name Salmo salar (Atlantic salmon). Its description in RNAcentral is "lncRNA (ENSSSAG00000091822.1, ENSSSAG00000116657.1, ENSSSAG00020084660.1, ENSSSAG00075066527.1)". Lineage: Eukaryota; Metazoa; Chordata; Actinopteri; Salmoniformes; Salmonidae. The record is from RNAcentral.
AUCAUGGUUGGUACAGGGUGCGGGAGAAAUCCUCGUUCUCCCCGCAGAAAUACUGACAUUCUAUCGGACAUGGUUCUUUCAUAAACUAGGUCUAUAUGUCAUAAAACAAAACGCAGUUAUUUUACAGUAAUUCCGGAAUAUACACUACUAUCGUGCGUAUCAUCUGUUGUGGAUACAGAAACAUUGUGCCAGUAGAAAAUUACAAUCUGCCCUCAAGGAAGUUAUCAUGUGCCCAGACAGUGUAUGAGACUAAAUUGCUUGUCAUAGCCGGUCACUCAAAGCUAAUGACUGCCUCUGCUCUCUCAUUACGCCUGUUGAUGGUGAAUUAUGGCCGCUGUUGAUACAAAAGGGAAUUUAUGCCAGGAACUCAACUGUUUCUAAGCAGAUUCUCCUCCUCUGCCGUGUGCAGGGU